RNAcentral lists this ribosomal RNA (854 nucleotides) under Sympodiella goidanichii. RNAcentral's name for it is "partial 28S ribosomal RNA". It matches the Rfam family "Eukaryotic large subunit ribosomal RNA", at positions 55 to 929 of the family's 3401-position model. The record is from RNAcentral. Lineage: Eukaryota; Fungi; Ascomycota; Dothideomycetes; Venturiales; Cylindrosympodiaceae.
GGAAAAGAAACCAACAGGGAUUGCCUCAGUAACGGCGAGUGAAGCGGCAACAGCUCAAAUUUGAAAUCUGGCUCCUUUCGGGGUCCGAGUUGUAAUUUGUAGAGGGUGCUUCGGUGGAAGCCCCGGCCCAAGUCCCUUGGAACAGGACGUCAGAGAGGGUGAGAACCCCGUGUCCGGCCGGUGGCGCUCCCCGCGUGAAGCCCCUUCGACGAGUCGAGUUGUUUGGGAAUGCAGCUCUAAAUUGGUGGUAAAUUCCAUCUAAAGCUAAAUACCGGCCAGAGACCGAUAGCGCACAAGUAGAGUGAUCGAAAGAUGAAAAGCACUUUGAAAAGAGAGUCAAAAAGUACGUGAAAUUGUUGAAAGGGAAGCGCUUGCGGCCAGACUUGCCCGCGGAUGUUCAGCCCGUCUUCUGGCGGGUGCACUCUUCCGCGGUCAGGCCAGCAUCGGUUUGGGCGGCCGGACAAAGGCUCGGGGAACGUGGCCCCCUUCGGGGGGUGUUAUAGCCCCGGGUGCAAUGCGGCCAGCCUGGACCGAGGACCGCGCUCUGCUAGGAUGCUGGCGUAAUGGCCGUAAGCGGCCCGUCUUGAAACACGGACCAAGGAGUCUAACAUCUAUGCGAGUGUUUGGGUGUCAAACCCGUGCGCGUAAUGAAAGUGAACGGAGGUGGGAACCUUAGGGUGCACCAUCGACCGAUCCUGAUGUCUUCGGAAGGAUUUGAGUAAGAGCAUAGCUGUUGGGACCCGAAAGAUGGUGAACUAUGCCUAGAUAGGGUGAAGCCAGAGGAAACUCUGGUGGAGGCUCGCAGCGGUUCUGACGUGCAAAUCGAUCGUCAAAUCUGGGUAUAGGGGCGAAAG